GAAAAAAUCUGGAAGAUAGGUAUCAAAUUCCAUGCUUUGUAUACGGAAAGUAUAUAUGUGGGAUGUGGGAAGGUUGACGAAUUCUUUUUAUUUAAUCUUUAGCAUUACUUGGAUUUAUUUGUAGCAAUAAGCUUAUAUUCAUGUAAUGAUUUUUGAUGAGAAAAUAUACUUACGUAUUGAAGUAAAAAAUGACCCAGGAAAAUUGCAGUUCUAGUCUAAAUAGUCACAUGAAUAUAUCCCUAGAAUAUCUUGAAGAGAAUAUAGUAUUGGCUAACAGUCAUCAUAGCUUGAUAGAGAAUAAAGUCUGUCAGACUUAUCUAACAGGGUGAAAAGCCUAGUCAAUUGAGGAAGGAACAAUGGAUAUAAUGUAGUUUUUAAAUAUUUUGCUUCUUACUGAAAAAUGCACUUCUCACUGUCCUGGAAAAAUAUAGACUGGGCUGCUGGUGAUAAAGGAUGGCAGUUAUAAAGUGGUAGACAAUUUCAAUCUGAGAUAAGAUAUAAUAUAUGGGAAUAAGAUGAACUUUAUUAUUUUAAUCAGUGAUCCAAAUUAUUAUAUGUUCACUCAAAAUACAGAUAGUAUAAUCAUGUAAUAUUUUUGUAAUGUUUUCUAUAAUCAGGUACUGGUUUGAAUAGAGGACAAAAAUAAAACAGAAGGUUUGAAGACUAAGUACUUCUUUUUAAGUGACUGAAACAUGUACUUGAAAAACACUUUAAGAACCUUUGUAAAAUAACAUUAAACUGAGUGUGUAAAUAUGCCUUGUAAAAAAAAAAGCAAUUAGAAUUCUGUAGAGUUAAUCACAGUGUGCUUUUGGGGAGGACCUGAGUUAAUCAGGGUUUAGGUGGAGUUUAGAUACUAGUUUGUCACAGAAGAGGGUAAUUCAGGUAAAGACAAAGCUUCCAAUGGGUGAGAGGAUUGGGAAGCUUAUUUUUACUAGUUUGAAAGCUGGGAUUAAAAUUCAGAGUAGCCUGGUAAAUUAGGGAAAUGAUUUGAAAUAAUAUACCGUACCUUUACUUUUAUGGUUCUAAAAUUUUAUUUCCCUGAAUGUAGUUUCGAAAAGAAAGAAGUAGAGAAAGGGGGAAAAAUUAUUUGCACAAAAAAUAAGGAAAUGAAUAGGUCCUUGCAAUUAUGACUAGAGAGUCCAUUGGAGUCUGAAGUGUUUUCUGAAUAUGAGUUGGAAAUGAAAACACUAGUUAAGGCAGCAAACAUGCAAGAAUACUAGCUAAGGUUCUUUUUUCUUUCACAAAUAAAUUUUUUACCCAGGUUGAUCCCUAGGAUCAAUAGUAAAUAGUACACAAUUAAAACUAUAAAUCAUCUAUAAAUGCUGAAAGUAACAAAGGAUGCAGCUUAUGUUUUCUCCAUUUUCUUUAUAAGUUUUGUUUGCAUCUAAUUUAUUUCCAGGUACCCCUAUGAUGUAAAUUACCAUCCAGUCUUCACCUACUACCAGAAAUUGAACUUUUUUAUUUCUUCUGAAAGUUUAAAGAGUUCUAAUAUGGCUCUGUAUUUUUUUUAGCUAAAAUGUCAUAGUGAAUUUCUUUAAACGGUGGUUAUUGUUGACUCAGUGUUUAUCUCUUUUUCACAAAGGGUUUGCCAGUGUCUUUCUUUGACAAACAUGUGUUGUUACUAUUAUGUGCUCACUGGGAUAGUGAGCAAAAAUAGACAUAGGUCUUGAUCUCCCGGAACUUAUAUCUAAAGAUAGAAAAGGAUAUUAAUGAAAUAAUCAUACAAAUAAAUGCAAAGUUGGAACUGUUUCAGUUGCUGUAGAGAGGUACGUAAUAUGAGGGCUUUUAGAAGGAGAAUUUACUCAGUGCGAUCAAGAGGAAUUUUUUUUUGGAGGAAGUGUUUAUUUAGCUGAGAUCUCAAGUAAGUUAAUUUGAUCAAGAUGAAGAAAAGAGUUUUCUGGGAAGAAGGAAUAGCAUAUACAGAGGUUCUGAGGUGGGAGGAAGCAUAGUACCGAAUAUUAAACAAAGGUCAAUGUGGCAGAAGUUUAGAGCAAGA
Molecule: long non-coding RNA, 1996 nt
Filed under: Homo sapiens (human)
Lineage: Eukaryota; Metazoa; Chordata; Mammalia; Primates; Hominidae
Description: LHRI_LNC540.1
Source: RNAcentral